UUUAUUCGUGGAGAGUUGGCCCCCACUCCGGACUGAGCCGAAGGAGUUUAUUCGAAGCUCUUCGGGUUGGUCUUGUAAGAGGUUUUCAGUGUCAUGGGGUGUUUUGUGGAUAAAAGAGUUGACAGGAGAUAGGGUUUUUUUAUAGGUGUUGGGGCAUGAGGAAAAAUAUGAAGUGGAGUGAUUUGUGUUUUUGUGCCAAGAAUGGAUUAUAUUUAGAUUAAUACUUUUUUAGCAAAUAAGGAUAUAACAUAAAAGACAACUUGACGAAAGGUUCGGCCGUUGGGUCGAUAACAAUUUGGCGAUGUUGUGACUGUUUAGCAUUCAAGUCGAGAUGAGGCGGCUUUGUCAGCAAGACAAUUGACUAACGAAGGCUCAUUAGCUUCAAGGUGGACAUCGCCGAUGGACUACUUGAUUGUUACGGCGACUAUUGAAAGGAAAUAUUCAAAUGACUACCAGGAAUCAAUUUUCUAUGUGUCAAACCAGAGUAGACAUUAUAAGAAUAGCUUUAAUUGAGACUAGAGGCAGAAAAAUAAUAGUAUAAUAUGAAGAGGAGAAAAAUUAGAAAAACCUUUUUGCUGGCAUCCUACACAAUAAUGGCUA
Molecule: long non-coding RNA, 600 nt
Organism: Anthonomus grandis grandis
Lineage: Eukaryota; Metazoa; Arthropoda; Insecta; Coleoptera; Curculionidae
Exons: 3
Source: RefSeq, a predicted model, not a curated record